AGUGAACGCUGGCGGUAGGCCUAACACAUGCAAGUCGAACGGCAGCACAGUAAGAGCUUGCUCUUACGGGUGGCGAGUGGCGGACGGGUGAGGAAUACAUCGGAAUCUACUUUUUCGUGGGGGAUAACGUAGGGAAACUUACGCUAAUACCGCAUACGACCUACGGGUGAAAGCAGGGGAUCUUCGGACCUUGCGCGAAUGAAUGAGCCGAUGUCGGAUUAGCUAGUUGGCGGGGUAAAGGCCCACCAAGGCGACGAUCCGUAGCUGGUCUGAGAGGAUGAUCGGCCACACUGGAACUGAGACACGGUCCAGACUCCUACGGGAGGCAGCAGUGGGGAAUAUUGGACAAUGGGCGCAAGCCUGAUCCAGCCAUACCGCGUGGGUGAAGAAGGCCUUCGGGUUGUAAAGCCCUUUUGUUGGGAAAGAAAAGCAGCAGGUUAAUACCCCGCUGUUCUGACGGUACCCAAAGAAUAAGCACCGGCUAACUUCGUG
RNAcentral lists this ribosomal RNA (492 nucleotides) under uncultured bacterium. RNAcentral describes it as "partial 16S ribosomal RNA". It matches the Rfam family "Bacterial small subunit ribosomal RNA", at positions 29 to 507 of the family's 1533-position model. The record is from RNAcentral.